Molecule: long non-coding RNA, 147 nt
Organism: Clupea harengus (Atlantic herring)
Lineage: Eukaryota; Metazoa; Chordata; Actinopteri; Clupeiformes; Clupeidae
Exons: 2
Source: RefSeq, a predicted model, not a curated record
GAUGUUUAACAGAGCAAAAAUGAACAUACAUAUAACAACUUACAAAAGGAGCUUCACAAAAUCAAGCCUGUAAGGUUUGAGUGAGGCUUGGUUCAUCCCUUUCGGUAAAUGGUAGUGUAACAUUAAAUCCAUAUAGAGGAAAAAAAA